AUCCAGAUGACGAGUCCUUGAAUAGGACGAAACUUGCGUCAUGGAU
Molecule: non-coding RNA, 46 nt
Filed under: Schistosoma mansoni
Lineage: Eukaryota; Metazoa; Platyhelminthes; Trematoda; Strigeidida; Schistosomatidae
Source: RNAcentral